Molecule: microRNA precursor, 228 nt
Filed under: Eugenia uniflora (Surinam cherry)
Lineage: Eukaryota; Viridiplantae; Streptophyta; Magnoliopsida; Myrtales; Myrtaceae
Description: miR166 stem-loop (eun-MIR166)
Gene: eun-MIR166
Rfam family: mir-166 microRNA precursor family
About the family: This family represents the plant microRNA (miRNA) precursor mir-166. Animal miRNAs are transcribed as ~70nt precursors and subsequently processed by the Dicer enzyme to give a ~22nt product.
Source: miRBase by way of RNAcentral
UUUUUUGAGGGGAAUGUUGUCUGGCUCGAGGCCACCAUCUCAGAUCACCCAUCUUCAUCUCGAUGAAUCAAUUAAGACCCAUCGUUUUUUUUUUUCUUUUCUUUUCUUUUCUUUUGUUGUUGUUGUUGUGGGUUGGGAUCGACGCAAACCCAUUUCAGAUGAUCAUGCGGUGAUCGAUCAGAUCAUAUGAGCUUGACGACCUCGGACCAGGCUUCAUUCCCCCCAAUU